AUUUCUAAAUUGCAGACCACAAGAAAUCAUUUUCUUGAUAUAUUUUGUUGGCUUCAAUAUUCAAAUGUUGUGCUUUAUUGGAUGGUCUAAUAGAUUUUUAUUAGAGCAUGCUUGCUUCAGCGGGUUGCCAUGGAACAUGGACUGAUACUGGUGGACAUAAAGUAUGAGUUUGGAAGAAGUAGUGAUGGCUCAAUCUUAUUGAUUGAUGAGAUUCAUAUACCCGAUUCCAGCAGAUACUGUCUUGCAGGUUCAUAUGAAGUGCUAAAAUGUUGAUAAGGAGUUCCAAAGAGAACUGCAAUCCAUACGAGAACGAGAUAUGCUUACAUCGGUAGUCUUGGUAUCUCGAUUCUUAAUUGUAUAAAAUAAGCAAUUAAAAUCAGAAACUUGCUUCACUACGGCGGCCGAGACGCCGCUGUGGAUGUUGCAGGGGUUGUGAAGGAAGGGGUUUUGAUUAGAACAUUCAUGGAAUCGUCUUCUUCACGUGAAGAAGAGUCAUCUGAAGCUUCUCCAGCUUGUAUUUUAAUCGCCUCUUUAAUACUCAAGCUUCAUAGUUCAUCAUCACGUGCACGGGCUUAUGAUGUUAUAUUGUUAGUUAUUCUUCAUCUGGUUAAUAUUUCUAUGCUCAAUGAUUUUAUUUUUAUUUUUUACGUGUAAUAUUUUAUUAUACAUAACCAAAACCAUACAUGGACUAUACUAAAAGCUCCACAAAAAGUUUACAUAAAUAUUUGAGGCCCAACAAGAGUCUAUCAGAUUACUGGUUA
Molecule: long non-coding RNA, 761 nt
Organism: Arabidopsis lyrata subsp. lyrata
Lineage: Eukaryota; Viridiplantae; Streptophyta; Magnoliopsida; Brassicales; Brassicaceae
Exons: 3
Source: RefSeq, a predicted model, not a curated record